GAUCAUGGCUCAGGAUGAACGCUAGCUACAGGCUUAACACAUGCAAGUCGAGGGGCAUCAGUUUGGUUUGCUUGCAAACCAAAGCUGGCGACCGGCGCACGGGUGAGUAACACGUAUCCAACCUGCCUCAUACUCGGGGAUAGCCUUUCGAAAGAAAGAUUAAUAUCCGAUAGCAUAUUAUUUCCCGCAGUUGGGUUUUAUAUUAAAGAAAUUCGGUAUGAGAGUGGGGAUGCGUUCCAUUAGUUUG
This 247-nucleotide ribosomal RNA is filed under the name uncultured bacterium. Its description in RNAcentral is "partial 16S ribosomal RNA". It matches the Rfam family "Bacterial small subunit ribosomal RNA", at positions 15 to 248 of the family's 1533-position model. The record is from RNAcentral.